GACGAACGCUGGCGGCGUGCCUAAUACAUGCAAGUUGAGCGAUGAAGCUUGGUGCUUGCACCAAUUUGAAGAGCAGCGAACGGGUGAGUAACGCGUGGGGAAUCUGCCUUUGAGCGGGGGACAACAUUUGGAAACGAAUGCUAAUACCGCAUAAUAACUUUAAACAUAAGUUUUAAGUUUGAAAGAUGCAAUUGCAUCACUCAAAGAUGAUCCCGCGUUGUAUUAGCUAGUUGGUGAGGUAAAGGCUCACCAAGGCGAUGAUACAUAGCCGACCUGAGAGGGUGAUCGGCCACAUUGGGACUGAGACACGGCCCAAACUCCUACGGGAGGCAGCAGGAGGGAAUCUUCGGCAAUGGACGAAAGUCUGACCGAGCAACGCCGCGUGAGUGAAGAAGGUUUUCGGAUCGUAAAACUCUGUUGGUAGAGAAGAACGUUGGUGAGAGUGGAAAGCUCAUCAAGUGACGGUAACUACCCAGAAAGGGACGGCUAACUACGUG
Molecule: ribosomal RNA, 497 nt
Filed under: uncultured bacterium
Lineage: Bacteria
Description: partial 16S ribosomal RNA
Rfam family: Bacterial small subunit ribosomal RNA
Source: RNAcentral